GAUGAACGCUGGCGGCGUGCCUAAUACAUGCAAGUCGAGCGAACAGACGAGGAGCUUGCUCCUCUGACGUUAGCGGCGGACGGGUGAGUAACACGUGGAUAACCUACCUAUAAGACUGGGAUAACUUCGGGAAACCGGAGCUAAUACCGGAUAACAUGUUGAACCGCAUGGUUUAACAGUGAAAGACGGUCUUGCUGUCACUUAUAGAUGGAUCCGCGCCGCAUUAGCUAGUUGGCAAGGUAACGGCUUACCAAGGCAACGAUGCGUAGCCGACCUGAGAGGGUGAUCGGCCACACUGGAACUGAGACACGGUCCAGACUCCUACGGGAGGCAGCAGUAGGGAAUCUUCCGCAAUGGGCGAAAGCCUGACGGAGCAACGCCGCGUGAGUGAAGAAGGUCUUCGGAUCGUAAAACUCUGUUAUUAGGGAAGAACAAAUGUGUAAGUAACUAUGCACGUCUUGACGGUACCUAAUCAGAAAGCCACGGCUAACUACGUG
This 497-nucleotide ribosomal RNA is filed under the name uncultured bacterium. RNAcentral describes it as "partial 16S ribosomal RNA". It matches the Rfam family "Bacterial small subunit ribosomal RNA", at positions 28 to 507 of the family's 1533-position model. The record is from RNAcentral.